AGCGGCGUUAACUCUUCGUUGACCUUUCAUGAUCAAUCUGGCUGCAGUUCCGCCCUUGCCUUUGACCACGGAUGUACUGGCACUGAUGUGAAGGCGGAUGGCGAAAGGCCGGGUCAUUCCGGCCUUUUUGUUU
RNAcentral lists this small RNA (133 nucleotides) under Rhizobium sp. BK609. RNAcentral's name for it is "sRNA ar35". It matches the Rfam family "Alphaproteobacterial sRNA ar35". The record is from RNAcentral. Lineage: Bacteria; Pseudomonadati; Pseudomonadota; Alphaproteobacteria; Hyphomicrobiales; Rhizobiaceae. RNAcentral also lists the same sequence under 3 other names.